CUGCUAGAUUGUUCAGAAGGUUGUUCUCAUCCAUCCAGAUGGAGGAUCAGUAACAGGAGCGUGGGAAGACUCCAGAAUCCACUCUGGCUGGAAUCCGGUGGAUACAGCAGUGUUUACAGGUACAGUACGUGAUAUUAAGGGCAGGCGGUCAUCACUGGGGGAAGACAAGAAGCAGACGUACUUCCAAGAGGGAGCUGCAGUGAGGACACAGCCUGGUCACUGAGGUCAGAGGAGGCGCUGAAAGGUUUCCCUAAUAGUUCCUGGUGAAUCAAAGCAGGACCAUAAAGGUUGCUGGACUGCAUGAUGGCCUUACCCCUGACCAGUCAUCCUGUUAAAGGAGGAACCAGUUAGAAGCUGUUUUCAAAGUAGCUGAGCAGAUUUCAUCUCAAACAAAGCCGAUGGCAGAAGAUGUUUGGAGAAGAACUUCAGGCCGUGGACUGAAAAGUAGAUCAAAGCAGCUCGUGCUCUGUCUGCUUCCAUUCUGAUGGCAAGAAGAAGAAAAAGGAGAAGACUUCAGCGAAGUGGCGUUCAUGGUCUCAGUGGACAGUCAUGGUCACACACUGCAUGUGGUUUUAAAAGCAACAUUAAGCAAAGAUUAAUCUGAUCCCAUUUCUACCUGUCUCUACUGUUUCAACUGUAACUGUCAGGAUAUAUAUUUAUUCCAGCUAGGGAUGGGUAUCGAAAACCGGUUCUUGUUGAGAACCGGUUCCCACUGUUUCAAUUCCU
Oreochromis aureus is the source of this 726-nucleotide long non-coding RNA. The record is from Ensembl. Lineage: Eukaryota; Metazoa; Chordata; Actinopteri; Cichliformes; Cichlidae.